RNAcentral lists this ribosomal RNA (253 nucleotides) under uncultured bacterium. Its description in RNAcentral is "partial 16S ribosomal RNA". It matches the Rfam family "Bacterial small subunit ribosomal RNA", at positions 524 to 776 of the family's 1533-position model. The record is from RNAcentral.
UACGUAGGGGGCGAGCGUUGUCCGGAUUUAUUGGGCGUAAAGAGCGUGUAGGCGGCCAGGUAGGUCUGCUGUGAAAACUCGAGGCUCAACCUCGAGACAUCGGCGGAAACCAUCUGGCUAGAGUCCGGAAGAGGAGAGUGGAAUUCCUGGUGUAGCGGUGAAAUGCGCAGAUAUCAGGAGGAACACCAAUAGCGAAGGCAGCUCGCUGGGACGGUACUGACGCUAAGGCGCGAAAGCGUGGGGAGCGAACAGG